Molecule: ribosomal RNA, 253 nt
Filed under: uncultured bacterium
Lineage: Bacteria
Description: partial 16S ribosomal RNA
Rfam family: Archaeal small subunit ribosomal RNA
Source: RNAcentral
UACCAGCACCCCGAGUGGUCGGGACGUUUAUUGGGCCUAAAGCAUCCGUAGCCGGUUCUACAAGUCUUCCGUUAAAUCCACCUGCUCAACAGAUGGGCUGCGGAAGAUACUAUGGAGCUAGGAGGCGGGAGAGGCAAGCGGUACUCGAUGGGUAGGGGUAAAAUCCGUUGAUCCAUUGAAGACCACCAGUGGCGAAGGCGGCUUGCCAGAACGCGCUCGACGGUGAGGGAUGAAAGCUGGGAGAGCAAACCGG